AAGUCUUUGUUCAAGUCUUAUAAAAAAUACUGUCUCUGGGUGUAAGGCAGAGAUUCAUGAAGAAGAGCUGCUACAAGUCGGCACUCAGCGACUUUGGUGAUGCUUUGAAUCUCUCGCCGGCUGUCCGAUAAUAAAGGCACCGUUGUUGAACAGAAAACUUGUGGUGUUCGGAUUUGUGAGGAAAAAAAACAGUCAUCAACAUUUGGUGCCACAACCCCGAUCUCAAUAAAGGGAAUGACUCACGGGGCUGAGUAUGUGGCAUGAAAAUCUGAAUUGGGCAGAACUGAGCGGUAAGUGCGCCUCGGGGUGUUUUACCCCAGACUGCUCCUUGUGUUCAGCCAGACGGUCUGUCCGUCGCCCUGUGGAACCGGUAUUUUGACAAGCCACCCAGACCCAGUGUGUAAGACCUUACAGUAACCUUCCAGCCUCACAGUGGUCAAAUGCUCAGCCCACACCGGUGCAACUGACAGGGUCUCUAAGGGAAAUGAACAGAUCAUUUAAAGCAUUCAGAGAAAGUCAUCUUAAUAACAAGGGCUCUGGCCAGCCGAAGAAGGCGUAUCUUGACACUGGAGCCAGAAAAUAAAGAUCACUGAACUGACUUUCCAAUUUUUCUACCCCAUCAGUAAUCUGCUUUCCUCUUUGUUUGUCUGUGUGUGUGUAAGGGGAAGCUAAUAUGGGAUUAGAGUUUUAGUAGAGUUGUAUUCCUUUUUUUAAGCUGUAGCAAUAGUCUAAUUAAUUGUAAUAAAUAAUUAUUUUUGUUCACUACAGAAAUCUAUUCUGUUCUUUCUCUCAAACUUAGUCAGGUAAAUUGGGGCAUUGUGCAAAUAAGGUUAACAUUUGUACAACUCUCAGCGAUAGUGGGCCUCAAAUUUACAGUAUACAAUCCCAGUGAGUCAUCAGCACCAGUCGAAGUUGAUAAAUAUUUGAUUAUCAAUAGUGUAAAGAGUUAUAGGGAUAAUGUGGAUGAAAGGCAUUGUGGAUAAAAGUUCAAUCAAUGUUUAUCCCAUUAACUGGCAGGACAGGCUCAAUGGCCUGGAUGGUCUAUUCCUAUUCCUGUGUUCCUAAUGAAAGACAAAAGUGGAAAAAAAUAGGAGGAGUGAGGGAAAAGAACGAUCAUUUGUAACAACUGAUGUCAAAGUAGAGAAUUUCUGUUUAAAUCAGAUUGGAAAAAGUGGAUUGUUAUUUUAAAUGAUUGAUUCAUAAUUUUAUGUUAGACACGUAAGUAGUAAUUUGAGCUCAGAUGAUAAUAUGAUUUGAGGUAUUAAAUUUGGAGUUGCGAUAUGCAGGUAGCCUUGCAAAUAAAUAUAAAUAUGUGACAACUGAUUCAUUGUGACAGUAGCAUCAUUUAUCGCUAUCUGCUCAUGAUAAAUGGGCAAUAACGAAUCAGGAUAUUUGUUGGAAGAUAAUGCAUGAAAGAAAUGUAUAAAAUUUCCUGAAGAUAUUUGUAACAUCACCCAUGUCAUGCAUAUUUCCCAGAAACAUGUUGCCUGACUAUGUAUCUGUGAGGGUCUGCACAGUCCAUCGUUAGCAAAUGGAAUUCCGAAUUGGACUGUUCAAUUCAAAAGAUCAUUGUUUAUUCAAAAAAAAGUUUGUAUUUCAAUAAAUACAACUGUGC
Long non-coding RNA from Chiloscyllium plagiosum (whitespotted bambooshark), 1615 nucleotides. RefSeq lists it as uncharacterized. The record is from RefSeq and is a predicted model, not a curated record. Lineage: Eukaryota; Metazoa; Chordata; Chondrichthyes; Orectolobiformes; Hemiscylliidae.